RNAcentral lists this ribosomal RNA (483 nucleotides) under uncultured bacterium. Its description in RNAcentral is "partial 16S ribosomal RNA". It matches the Rfam family "Bacterial small subunit ribosomal RNA", at positions 29 to 507 of the family's 1533-position model. The record is from RNAcentral.
AGUGAACGCUGGCGGAAGCCUUAACACAUGAAAGUCGACCGGCAGCACAGUAAGAGCUUGCGAUUACGCGGGGGGCGUGGCGGUCGGGCGUAGGAAUCUUCGUAAUCUAGUUUUUUGUGGGGGGUAAAGUAGGGCUAAUUACGCUAAUAUCGCAUACGACCUACGGGUGGAUCUUCGGACUCCUCGCAACUUGCGGAGUCGAAGUCGGAUUAGCUAGUUGGCGGGGUAAAGGCCCACCAAGGCGACGAUCCGUAGCUGGUCUGAGAGGAAGAUCAGUCACACUGGAACUGAGACACGGUCCAGACUCCUACGGGAGGCAGCAGUGGGGAAUAUUGGACAAUGGGCGCAAGCCUGAUCCAGCCAUACCGCGUGUGUGAAGAAGGCCUUCGGGUUGUAAAGCCCUUUUGGUUGGAAAGAAAAGCAGCAAGUUAAUACCCCGCUGUUCUGACGUUACCCACAGAAUAAGCACCGGCUAACUUCGUG